Molecule: ribosomal RNA, 505 nt
Filed under: uncultured bacterium
Lineage: Bacteria
Description: partial 16S ribosomal RNA
Rfam family: Bacterial small subunit ribosomal RNA
Source: RNAcentral
GACGAACGCUGGCGGCGUGCCUAAUACAUGCAAGUAGAACGCACAGUUUAUACCGUAGCUUGCUACACCAUAAACUGUGAGUUGCGAACGGGUGAGUAACGCGUAGGUAACCUGCCUGGUAGCGGGGGAUAACUAUUGGAAACGAUAGCUAAUACCGCAUAAUAUUGAUUAUUGCAUGGUAAUUGAUUGAAAGAUGCUAUUGCAUCACUACCAGCUGGACCUGCGUUGUAUUAGCUAGUAGGUGAGGUAACGGCUCACCUAGGCGACGAUACAUAGCCGACCUGGGAGGGUGAUCGGCCACACUGGGACUGGGACACGGCCCAGACCCCUACGGGAGGCAGCAGGAGGGAAUCUUCGGCAAAGGACGGAAGUCUGACCGAGCAACGCCGCGUGAGUGAAGAAGGUUUUCGGAUCGGAAAGCUCGGUUGUAAGAGAAGAACGGGUGUGAGAGUGGAAAGUUCACACUGUGACGGUAUCUUACCAGAAAGGGACGGCUAACUACGUG